GUCCAGGUCGGCGCUUCCCCUCCGGGCGCAGGCGCCACCGGCAGCCCGCGGCGCAGCGCUGCCGCCCGGGACGGCGGCCUCAUGAGCUGCCAGGUCUCGGUGCUCUACUUCGCCCGGAGCGCGGAGCUGGCGGGGCUGCGCUGCGAGGCCCUCUCGGUGCCGCGGCAGAUCACCUCGCUGCAGCUCUGGGAGGAGAUCGUCAGGGCUCACCCAAGGCUGGCGGCCAUCCGGGACCAGGUGGUUCUCGCUGUUCGGCAGGAGUACGUGCUUCUUGGAGAUCACCUCCUGGUCCUGCAGCCUGGAGACGAAGUUGCUGUCAUCCCACCCAUUAGUGGAGGCUGAAUCUGGCCAGAUUCUCUUAGCUUUUCUAGUGAGCUAUGGGCGAAAGCGAAGAUGUGCCAAAAGAUUUUAUCAAGCUCAAGUCUGAAAAGCUCUCUGUGGAUGAAGUGUCAGAGCUGGUCAUUUCACCAUAUUGUGGGGCAGUGUCUCUCUUCGUUGCGUGGUUCCAAUAACUGAAGCAAGUGUAAUUAUUGCAGUGUCCUCUCCACACAGAGCAGAAUCCCUUGAGGCUGUAACGUACUGCAUCAAUACCUUGAAAGCAUCUGUCCCAAUAUGGAAAAAGAGCUCUUUCUUGAAUUGAGUUCAGUGUAGAUGUACCCUUCUAACAGUAAUGGGGCGCAGACCAAGUUUCAGCAUCCACCCACAUGAGAUUUAUGAGGACGAAUAUUCUUGGAAAGAAAACAAGGAAUGCUUUUGGGCAAAUUCAGGAAAAUAAUUGUUCUCUUUUAAAAAUAAAGUGUUACUCUUCCUAAUAAGCACAA
RNA transcript from Pogoniulus pusillus (Red-fronted tinkerbird), 821 nucleotides. It is a transcript of the gene named molybdenum cofactor synthesis 2, with no coding region annotated. The transcript has 7 exons. The record is from RefSeq and is a predicted model, not a curated record. Lineage: Eukaryota; Metazoa; Chordata; Aves; Piciformes; Lybiidae.